AGGAAAGAAUAAUGACGGUACCUGAUGAAUAAGCACCGGCUAACUCCGUGCCAGCAGCCGCGGUAAUACGGGGGGUGCAAGCGUUACUCGGAAUCACUGGGCGUAAAGGACGCGUAGGCGGAUUAUCAAGUCUUUUGUGAAAUCUAGUGGCUUAACCACUAAACUGCUUAGGAAACUGAUAGUCUAGAGUAGGGGAGAGGUAGAUGGAAUUCUUGGUGUAGGGGUAAAAUCCGUAGAGAUCAAGAAGAAUACCCAUUGCGAAAGCGAUCUGCUGGAACCUAACUGACGCUGAGGCGUGAAAGCGUGGGUAGCAAACAGGAUUAGAUACCCUGGUAGUCCACGCCCUAAACGAUGUAUACUAGUUGUUGCUUUGCUAGUCAAGGCAGUAAUGCAGCUAACGCAUUAAGUAUACCGCCUGGGGAGUACGGUCGCAAGAUUAAAACUCAAAGGAAUAGACGGGGACCCGCACAAGCGGUGGAGCAUGUGGUUUAAUUCGAAGAUACGCGAAGAACCUUACCUGGACUUGACAUCCUAAAAACAUCUAAGAGAUUAGAAAGUGCUAGUUUACUAGAAUUUAGUGACAGGUGCUGCACGGCUGUCGUCAGCUCGUGUCGUGAGAUGUUGGGUUAAGUCCCGCAACGAGCGCAACCCACGUGUUUAGUUGCUAACAGCUCGGCUGAGCACUCUAAACAGACUGCCUUCGUAAGGAGGAGGAAGGUGUGGACGACGUCAAG
Molecule: ribosomal RNA, 734 nt
Filed under: uncultured Campylobacter sp.
Lineage: Bacteria; Pseudomonadati; Campylobacterota; Epsilonproteobacteria; Campylobacterales; Campylobacteraceae
Description: bacterial SSU rRNA
Rfam family: Bacterial small subunit ribosomal RNA
Source: RNAcentral